GAUGAACGCUGGCGGCGUGCCUAACACAUGCAAGUCGAACGAACAGACGAGGUGCUUGCUCCUCUGAUGUUAGCGGCGGACGUGAGAGUAGCAUGUCGAUAACCUACCUAUAAGACUGCGAUAACUUACGGAAACCGGUACUAAAACCGGAUAAUGUAUUGCACGGCGUGGUUCAAUAGUGAAAGACGGUUUAGCUGUUACAUAUAGAUGUGACUGCGCCGCAUUCGCUAGAUGGUAAGGUAACGGCUUACCAAGGCAGCGAUGCGUAGCCGACCUGAGAGGGUGGACGUCCACACUGGAAGUGAGACACUGUCCAGACACCUACGGGAGGCAGCAGUAGGGAAUCUUCCGCAAGGGGGGAAUGCCUGACGGAGCAACGCCGAGGGAGUGAUGAAGGUCUGCGGAUGGGAGAACUCUGUUAUUAUGGAAGAACAAAUGUGUAAGUAACUAUACACGUCUUGACGGUACCUAAUCAGAAAGCAACGGCUAACUACGUG
RNAcentral lists this ribosomal RNA (497 nucleotides) under uncultured bacterium. RNAcentral's name for it is "partial 16S ribosomal RNA". It matches the Rfam family "Bacterial small subunit ribosomal RNA", at positions 28 to 507 of the family's 1533-position model. The record is from RNAcentral.